This 2835-nucleotide long non-coding RNA is filed under the name Salvia miltiorrhiza (redroot sage). RNAcentral's name for it is "long non-coding RNA (SMIL_LNC004830)". Lineage: Eukaryota; Viridiplantae; Streptophyta; Magnoliopsida; Lamiales; Lamiaceae. The record is from RNAcentral.
CUGAUUAAGGUGGGUUACCCAAUAACACGUGUCACAAUUUCAUAACAUAAAGUUAUCCUAAUCAAAGUGUUUUGCAGCGGAAAACGUGUGAGAUAAACAUAUGAAGAUGUAUACUCAAGGUUACAUUUCUUGAAAUGUCAAAGGAACACCCGCUCAACAUCAUUCCAUUCCAUCAACUGCUCAACCUGCACAUUUAGAAAUACAUGCAGGGCUGAGUAUAAAAAUACUCAGUGGGCAUAGCCGAAAAUACAACAUGCAUACAUAUAUAAAUUGAACUGCCAUAACAGUAACACACAGGGGUUUUCUUAAAUGACCUGCGCUUACUAAAAUAUUUCUUUCAUUUUCAUAAAGUCGAUCGGCCGAUCAUUUUCCUUCAUAUGAUCCAUAUCUGUUCCUUUCUGUCACGCGCCGGGAAGGAGGCCUCCUUACCACGGACGCCAAGACCGGUCGCAAGGCGAACUCGCGGUCUCCAUAAGUGUACACGUUAACCCUAGCUAGCGACCUUUGUCUAGCAUAGGAUCCCAAUUGGAUUUCCUUUAAAGUUGGCGAACCAACACAGAUAGGAUACAUAUAAAAACAUAAACAUUUUUGGCAGUCAAUCAUUUCAUAAACAUUUCAUUUUCAUAACAUUUUCAUUUCAUUUUCAUUCAUAAGGGUCAUUUAUCAUUUGGGCAUAAUAAUAAACUGAAAUUAACAGUUAAAAUCAUCUCAUGCAUAUAUUCGUAUAAGAGGCCUACGACACGCAGGGGAUCUCUAUAUACGUAUAGUAAAAGUAAUGCCCACCUGUAUAGGCAAUGCCUGUCGUUUAACGUUAUCUCUGAAUCGGAAUAGCAGUGCUAAUCCUCAUGAUGCUCAAAGCCUACAAGAAAUCUAUUCUCAAUAGGUCUCCUUAAAUUCUAAUCUUAAGUCAUGGUGUAGUGCUUAAUAUUCUAUGAUUCACUUAGCCGGGUUUUCAAAAUUUAAUGAAUAAAUAAUUAAAAACAUUUCUCUUGAGUUAAGAACACCAACAAUAUUCUUACUCAUCUUUCUGUAAUAAUUGGAAUUAUAAAUAACCAAUUAAAUCAUAAAUACUUUUAUUGCAUGAUGCAAAUGCAUACUUAGCAUAUGGUAAGUAAUUACUUAAAAUAUGCACAUAAUAAUAAUAUAAUAUUCUUAUGCAAAUCAUCUCAUGCUUAAUCGUAUAUGCACAUAAUAAUAAUAUUAUUAUUAUGCAAAUUAUUCUUUAAAUAAAUAAAUUAAACUAUUUAAUAGUUCAAUUAAUUAAUAUUAGUAUAGUCCAUUUAAUAAAAUAAUGCAGUCCAUUUACUAAAAAAAAAUCUGCACAAUCCAAGUAACAAGGCCCAGCUGUUUUAAUUAAAUAAACUGAGCCCAAGUUACUAAAUAAAAAUCGCAGCCCAAGUAAAUUAAUACAAGGGGCUGCCCAAACUCAAAUAAUCAGAGGCCCAUCUCUCAAUUUAAAAAAAAACCGGCCCGAGUUCAAGAUUUAAAACAAAGGCCCAACACUUCAAAGCCCAACUGAAACAAAAAUAAACAAAAAUCCCGGCCCAAUACUCGGCCCAAUUCGCAAACCCACCCCAAAGCCCAACACUCAAACCCUAUACCCCUUCUUUCUCCCUUUUCUCGUCUCUCUGCCUCACAACGCACACACACAUACCAGCUGCGCAGCAGCACCCCUUUUCCUCCUUCUCUCUUCCGGCGCAGCACACACACACACUCACGCAUACACAGACGCGGCUGCACCCUCUCCCCUCCUCUCGAUCUUUUCCGGCGGCGGUAGUAGCGCCGCCUCCGCCGUCCCCUGACUCCCCUUCGACCUCUCUCUUUCUCUCUUCACGUCGGAAGUACGACGCCGCGGAGACUCGCCGGAGGCGCAGCAGCGACGAGCUACCGCCACCAGCUCUCUCUCUGACCUCUCUCUCUUCGGCUGGUAACAGCCGCCAUACGCUGCCACCAUCGCCGAUUCCCAGCCCUCAAGCUUUCUCUCUCUCUCACUUACUCGGCCAGACUGACAGCAGCAGCUUCACGCCACUACAGCCGUCUGCCGGCUCACAGCCAAACGCCCCUUCCCUGACUUGACUCGGCAGCCGACGGCAGUAGCUUCGCCCCGCCGUCGCCGCUCACCCUCUGAAACUCCCUCUCUGCCCGUCCUUGGCUGGGCAGCAGCGGCACCACCGCCGCCAAACCCAGCCUCCCUCAUCUCCCUCCGACGAACAGCGGCUGCCAGACCGCCGCCGCCAAGUUCUGACCCAGCCAACAGAAGACAUGCACCCUCGGCUUCACUCUUCUCUCGGCUGAAACAGGCCCGACAUCCCACCGCGAAGAGCGGCGCCCGAGCCCUAGCUCCCUCUCUCUCACCGUGGCCGGGCGACAGCAGCGCCGCUGCCGUGCCGUGCCUCCGUCCACCUCCCGACUCAACACAACAAGUUCGAACAGAGAAAGUUAAAGCUUCAAGACUUUUUUUCUACUCUUCUUUUCAUUUUUAAAACAAAUCAUGCUUUCAUUGAUGUAUAUGCACAGAUUAUGUAUACAUAUCUAUUUUCAUAGUAAAGUUCAUUUUUGGGAGACUCAAUGAAUGGGUGUAUGCUUGUGAUUUUUGCUUGGUGAAGUUUGCACAGAUAAGGCGAAAUGUGUGCUUAAAUCAUACUGUAAAAUGAAAUAUCAAAGUGAGUUCAAAGCUGAAACCUUGAAUGAGAUGGUGGUGCCUGUUUGUUUCUGGACUGAAAUGAACUGGAGCUUUAUCUCUGGUUGAGAAAUUUCAGUGAGUAUUUGAUCCUACUUGCUUGUUGGAAAGGAGAAUGGGUUAGACGGAUGUUCUUGUUUCAUUUUGGAUUUGAG